This 880-nucleotide long non-coding RNA is filed under the name Lactuca sativa (garden lettuce). RNAcentral's name for it is "long non-coding RNA (LSAT_LNC009904)". The record is from RNAcentral. Lineage: Eukaryota; Viridiplantae; Streptophyta; Magnoliopsida; Asterales; Asteraceae.
CCAGCUCGCCCCUUAUCAUUUACAAGAACAAAGACAUUCCUGCAUACCAAAAUGGCUCGAGAAGUGUUUUCUGAUCCUUACUCUUAACACAUUAACAUAACAAUGGAUAAAUUGGUGAUAGUGAGAACUCUUUAGUGUUCGAUCUCAUAGAGAUCUUUAGGUUUUAUUGCCCCACCCUCGUAACCAACAACCACCAAUGCCUCUGCUUUGGAAUCUGCUACCUUCAGCACCCUUCAUUUUCGUUGCCUCAUAUCGUCAAGAUCAAUCAACUGCCCUCAUCAUCUUCUGCUUUGAUUUUCAACCUAGAAACCAUUCACAUACUACCCCUUUUAGUCACUACGUGAAUCAAACCUUAUUUCCCUUCACCUUCUUUCACCAUCACCAUAAAAAAAUGAUUUCUGAAAUGUAAUCUUAAUCUUAGUCGAUUUCGGAUGUAAAAGCCCUAUAUCUUUCCAUCUCUAUCACCCUCACCGAAUAUCUCCAUUUCUCUUGUUUCCCUUCUAUUGACAAUUGAAGGAAAAGUAAACUGGGUAUUGAUUGAUUUUGUUCUCUCUGAUGAAAAGUGUGGUUUAGGGUUUUUAUGAUUUGGGAUUUAUUCCGAAUUUGUCCUCCAUAUUUCUUUCAGGUAAGUUAGUAUAUCCCAAUCUAGGUUCAUGAUUGACACAUUUCAUUACUACUCCGUUUUGUUCUUAUUUCGUUUCAAAUCUGUAAAUACGACUUUCAUAUGGGUUCCAUUCUAAACCUUUUUAACUUUCUUGGUUAAUGUGUAUCUAGAUUUGUGUGUUGUAAACUAGGUUGAACUUCUAAACAAUGUCGUGAACAAAGCAAAUUGAUGAUAAGUAGCAACAUGGGUGAUAUUUGCAGCCAUGGUCUAAGCUUU